GGUACUCCGGGGAUAACAGGCUGAUACCGCCCAAGAGUUCAUAUCGACGGCGGUGUUUGGCACCUCGAUGUCGGCUCAUCACAUCCUGGGGCUGAAGUAGGUCCCAAGGGUAUGGCUGUUCGCCAUUUAAAGUGGUACGCGAGCUGGGUUUAGAACGUCGUGAGACAGUUCGGUCCCUAUCUGCCGUGGGCGCUGGAGAACUGAGGGGGGCUGCUCCUAGUACGAGAGGACCGGAGUGGACGCAUCACUGGUGUUCGGGUUGUCAUGCCAAUGGCACUGCCCGGUAGCUAAAUGCGGAAGAGAUAAGUGCUGAAAGCAUCUAAGCACGAAACUUGCCCCGAGAUGAGUUCUCCCUGACUCCUUGAGAGUCCUGAAGGAACGUUGAAGACGACGACGUUGAUAGGCCGGGUGUGUAAGCGCAGCGAUGCGUUGAGCUAACCGGUACUAAUGAACCGUGAGGCUUAACCUU
Molecule: ribosomal RNA, 469 nt
Filed under: Escherichia coli
Lineage: Bacteria; Pseudomonadati; Pseudomonadota; Gammaproteobacteria; Enterobacterales; Enterobacteriaceae
Description: partial 23S ribosomal RNA
Rfam family: Bacterial large subunit ribosomal RNA
Source: RNAcentral